This 64-nucleotide transfer RNA is filed under the name Cavia porcellus (domestic guinea pig). It matches the Rfam family "tRNA", at positions 1 to 62 of the family's 71-position model. From Rfam's summary of the family: Transfer RNA (tRNA) molecules are approximately 80 nucleotides in length. Their secondary structure includes four short double-helical elements and three loops (D, anti-codon, and T loops). Further hydrogen bonds mediate the characteristic L-shaped molecular structure. tRNAs have two regions of fundamental functional importance: the anti-codon, which is responsible for specific mRNA codon recognition, and the 3' end, to which the tRNAs corresponding amino acid is attached (by aminoacyl-tRNA synthetases). tRNAs cope with the degeneracy of the genetic code in two manners: having more than one tRNA (with a specific anti-codon) for a particular amino acid; and 'wobble' base-pairing, i.e. permitting non-standard base-pairing at the 3rd anti-codon position. Lineage: Eukaryota; Metazoa; Chordata; Mammalia; Rodentia; Caviidae. The record is from Rfam by way of RNAcentral.
GGAGGUUUAGCUCAGUGGCAUAAGCACCUGCCUUGCAAGCAGGCAGUUGUGAGUUCAAUCCCCA